RNAcentral lists this ribosomal RNA (547 nucleotides) under Retiboletus kauffmanii. RNAcentral describes it as "eukaryotic LSU rRNA". The stretch from base 188 to 342 matches the Rfam family "5.8S ribosomal RNA". Lineage: Eukaryota; Fungi; Basidiomycota; Agaricomycetes; Boletales; Boletaceae. The record is from RNAcentral.
GUCGUAACAAGGUUUCCGUAGGUGAACCUGCGGAAGGAUCAUUAUCGAACUGGGUUAGAUUGUUGCUGGCUCAUCGUGCACGUCUACCUUUUAUUACACACACCUGUGCACCUAUUGUAGGCUCUCGAAAGAGAAUCUAUGUCUUUGAUAACCAUACCUAAUGGAUUAGAAUGAUUUAUAUGAAUACAACUUUCAGCAACGGAUCUCUUGGCUCUCGCAUCGAUGAAGAACGCAGCGAAUUGCGAUAAGUAAUGUGAAUUGCAGAUUUUCAGUGAAUCAUCGAAUCUUUGAACGCACCUUGCGCUCCUUGGUAUUCCAAGGAGCAUGCCUGUUUGAGUGUCAUUGAAUUAUCAACCAAAUUCAUUUUGGCUUGGACUUGGGAGUUGCUGGCAAGUUGGUUGUCAGCUGUCCUGAAAUGCAUUACCGUGACAUGCACGGCUUCCGACGUGAUAAUGAUCGUCGUGGGCUGGAGUGUCCUUUGAUCUUGACUUGACCUCAAAUCAGGUAGGACUACCCGCUGAACUUAAGCAUAUCAAUAAGCGGAGGA